CCUACGGGUGGCAGCAGUGAGGAAUAUUGGUCAAUGGCCGAGAGGCUGAACCAGCCAAGUCGCGUGAGGGAAGACGGCCCUACGGGUUGUAAACCUCUUUUGUCGGGGAGCAAAGCGAACCACGUGUGGUUCCUUUAGAGUACCCCAAGAAAAAGCCUCGGCUAACUCCGUGCCAGCAGCCGCGGUAAUACGGAGGAUGCGAGCGUUAUCCGGAUUUAUUGGGUUUAAAGGGUGCGCAGGCGGGGGGGCAAGUCAGCGGUCAAAUUGCGGGGCUCAACCCCGUACUGCCGUUGAAACUGCAUCCCUUGAGUGCGCGAGAAGUAUGCGGAAUGCGUGGUGUAGCGGUGAAAUGCAUAGAUAUCACGCAGAACUCCGAUUGCGAAGGCAGCAUACCGGCGCGCAACUGACGCUCAGGCACGAAAGCGUGGGUAUCGAACAGGAUUAGAUACCCGUGUAGUC
This 459-nucleotide ribosomal RNA is filed under the name uncultured bacterium. RNAcentral describes it as "partial 16S ribosomal RNA". It matches the Rfam family "Bacterial small subunit ribosomal RNA", at positions 338 to 795 of the family's 1533-position model. The record is from RNAcentral.